This 253-nucleotide ribosomal RNA is filed under the name uncultured bacterium. RNAcentral's name for it is "partial 16S ribosomal RNA". It matches the Rfam family "Bacterial small subunit ribosomal RNA", at positions 524 to 776 of the family's 1533-position model. The record is from RNAcentral.
UACGGAGGAUGCAAGCGUUAUCCGGAAUGAUUGGGCGUAAAGCGUCCGCAGGUGGCUAUGUAAGUCUGCUGUUAAAGAGUGAGGCUUAACCUCAUAAAAGCAGUGGAAACUACAUGGCUAGAGUGCGUUCGGGGCAGAGGGAAUUCCUGGUGUAGCGGUGAAAUGCGUAGAUAUCAGGAAGAACACCGGUGGCGAAAGCGCUCUGCUAGGCCGCAACUGACACUGAGGGACGAAAGCUAGGGGAGCGAAUGGG